This 73-nucleotide transfer RNA is filed under the name Ailuropoda melanoleuca (giant panda). It matches the Rfam family "tRNA". From Rfam's summary of the family: Transfer RNA (tRNA) molecules are approximately 80 nucleotides in length. The record is from Rfam by way of RNAcentral. Lineage: Eukaryota; Metazoa; Chordata; Mammalia; Carnivora; Ursidae.
ACCUGGCUGGCUUAGUUGGUAGAGCAUGAAACUCUUGAUCUCAGGGUUUUGAGUUCAAGCCCCACGUUGGGCA